AGCUCUCUGGGCUGUGCGAGCUGUUGGAUUUGUUCCUCGAGCCGAUGCGCACGACUUCGGAGACCACUCCCUGGCGAUGUGAGCAGGUCCCCCACUGCAGGGGAAAGCCUAAUUCGCUAGACUGGUCACCACCUUGAACUAUUGGGUUCAGGGGCCAUAUCUGACGACGGCAGUCCGGAGAGCGC
Molecule: non-coding RNA, 185 nt
Filed under: Alteromonadaceae bacterium
Lineage: Bacteria; Pseudomonadati; Pseudomonadota; Gammaproteobacteria; Alteromonadales; Alteromonadaceae
Also listed under: 1 other name
Description: 6S RNA
Rfam family: 6S / SsrS RNA
About the family: E. coli 6S RNA was the first non coding RNA to be sequenced, but its function was unknown until recently.
Source: RNAcentral